AUAAGUUUGGGAGAACGUUUCACCUGCAAAUCAUUUACGUCGAAUCAAUCGUUAUAAAUAAAGACAGAUGUGUAAAAAAGAGAUUGUUAUCUUAAGUAAUAGAAAAAGAACAGAAAAUAAUUUUACAAGAAAAAUUGUGAAACAAUGUUCUUUGCACCAAAUUAAUUCUUAUUGAUAAAUAUUCUUAACGACAAAAAUAGGAAAAAACAUAUUUGCCAACUUUCAGAAUUUUUUAAUUAGUAUCUAAUUUCAAAUUGUAAAGAUAAGGAGGGGAAAAAGAAACGAAAGUAAUUCAUUUCCUCGUAGCUUAUAACCAUCUUGAUUCUUUCCAUAUAUUGAUUAAUCUACCCCAAUUGUAACAACCCUGUGCAGAGGGCGCCCUCGUGGUCGCUCGGUUAACAACCCCAAGCGAUGUGCGCUGUACAUAUACCGCCGUUCGGCGGACGGCGAAUAAGCUGCAUGUCAUUCCUUCGGUGGUUAUCGAACUAGUAAUACGCGAGCGAGUGUGGUACAACAAAUAUUCGUUCGUGCAUACUUCAUACGUUUCAGAGAUCCGUUAUACAAGUAAUUCAGGCGGUGGAAACAAUUUCUUCAUUCUUACUAGUCAUUUGCUUAUACUAUCAAUGUAAAGUAAAUUUGUUGGUAGUCAUGAGUUUUUGAUUUAUUAUAAAAUUUCAAGUAUACCUUAUGGAAAUGAAAGUAUUUUCGUGAUCAAUACUAUCUAAACUAUUGUUUGCUGCAUUUCGGAAAAGAAAUAUACUAAACUAACCGAAGAUGAAAGCAGUUCCAAUAGCUUGGAUGUAUUGCAAAGGAGCCGAACUGACUUAUAUUUGAAUUGUAAUUCCAAAGAAGAACAACGCUCCACCAGAUAAUAAAACAUUGCACAUCCGAAGUGAAACACAUUUCCGUUGACACUUUCUGUUCCUCCGUACAUCCGACGAUACGUCUUACAUGGAUAGUACAAAUGCCAGACCAUCAACGAGAUUAAUAUAUGGAAACAUUUUCCUUUUUACAUUUAUGUUUAAAUGGAAAAUCAAUCAAUGCUGUGUUUAUUUAAUGGUAAGAUGUUUUAGAGAUUAUAUGCAGUCGAAGAAAGUAUUAUUAUUUAUAAGUGAAUUUAUCUCAAAUAUUCUAAAUGGUAUGAAUCCCAAAUUGGAGUAAUUAUCCGGUAACUUCUAUAAUAUGGAAAUGGAAUUUUCUAAUAAAUCUUAUACAAAUAUAGUGCUAAAUUUAAAGAAUAUUAAUGGAAUAAUAGAAUGAUCAGUGAUAAAGGGUGUUUCAAUCGUUUCUCUUAUUUGUAAAGCUGUUGUUUGGCACGUAUGAUAGCUAGGGAUUAUUUCGCGUAUGAGACGCACUUGCGUAUUACUGGGUCGAAAAUCACGGAAGGAAUGACUUAACCUAGUUUUAUUAGUCCCAUGUUAGCAGGAUAGAAGACCAAGCUUCGUAAAAUCUAAUUCCCUAACUAGAACGCAUGGGGAUAAAUAAUUUCCCCUCUCCUAUAGUUAUGUAAUUAUAUGUAUAUAUAUUCUAUGUUCACGCGAAAUGAUCUGUGUAAUAUAUCUUGGAAUUUCCUAAUGAGAAUCUUACAAUAAUUCGUCUAUUUUUUAAUUGAAAUAAUCAUAUAAAACUGUAAUUAUUUAUGAUAUAAUUAACUAUUAUAAUAAUAAUUAUUGUAAUUAUCAAGA
Molecule: long non-coding RNA, 1685 nt
Organism: Vespula vulgaris
Lineage: Eukaryota; Metazoa; Arthropoda; Insecta; Hymenoptera; Vespidae
Exons: 3
Source: RefSeq, a predicted model, not a curated record